RNAcentral lists this ribosomal RNA (1506 nucleotides) under metagenome. RNAcentral's name for it is "bacterial SSU rRNA". It matches the Rfam family "Bacterial small subunit ribosomal RNA". The record is from RNAcentral.
AGAGUUUGAUCCUGGCUCAGAACGAACGCUGGUGGCGUGUUUUAUACAUGCAAGUCGAGCGAGGACGGUAGCAAUACCGAGCCGAGCGGCGAACGGGUGAGUAACGCGUAAGCAAUCUGCCCUGCAAUAGGGGAUAACCAUUCCAACGGAUGGCUAAUACCGUAUAUCGUGGCUUCCCGCCUGGGGAGUUGACGAAAGAUUUAUCGUUGCAGGAUGAGCUUGCGUCCGAUUAGCUAGUUGGCGGGGUAACGGCCCACCAAGGCGACGAUCGGUAUCCGGCCUGAGAGGGUGAUCGGACACAUUGGGACUGAGUUACGGCCCAGACUCCUACGGGAGGCAGCAGUAGGGAAUAUUGCGCAAUGGGGGGAACCCUGACGCAGCAACGCCACGUGUGGGAAGAAGCAUUUCGGUGUGUAAACCACUGUCGAGAGGGAAUAAAAAGAGGUUUCGGCCUCUCUGAAUGUACCUUUAAAGGAAGCACCGGCAAACUUCGUGCCAGCAGCCGCGGUAAUACGAGGGGUGCAAGCGUUGUUCGGAAUCACUGGGCGUAAAGGGAGCGUAGGUGGAAUUGCAAGUGGACCGUGCAAACCCGGGGCCCAACCCCGGACUCGCGGUCCAGACUGCAGUUCUUGAGUUGUUCAGAGGUAGACGGAAUUCCUGGUGUAGCGGUGGAAUGCGUAGAGAUCAGGAAGAACACCGAUGGCGAAGGCAGUCUACUGGGGACCAACUGACGCUGAGGCUCGAAAGCGUGGGUAGCAAACAGGAUUAGAUACCCUGGUAGUCCACGCUGUAAACGAUGCAUACUGGGUGUCUGGCAGCAAUGCCGGGUACCGUAGCUAACGCGUUAAGUAUGCCGCCUGGGGAGUACGCUCGCAAGAGUGAAACUCAAAGGAAUUGACGGGGGCCCGCACAAGCGGUGGAGCAUGUGGUUUAAUUCGGAGCAACGCGCAGAACCUUACCAGGGUUUGACAUGGGAUCGCCGCAGCGAGAGAUCGCUGUUUGGUAGCAAUACCACGGUCCGCACAGGUGCUGCAUGGCUGUCGUCAGCUCGUGUCGUGAGAUGUUGGGUUAAGUCCCGCAACGAGCGCAACCCACGUUGUCAGUUGCUACCCGCUAGGGAGCUCUCUGACGAGACUGCCGGGGACAACCCGGAGGAAGGUGUGGAUGACGUCAAGUCCUCAUGGCCCUUACAUCCUGGGCUACACACGUGCUACAAUGGGCGGUACAAUGGGUCGCAAAACCGCGAGGUGGAGCCAAUCCCCAAAGCCGUCCUCAGUUCGGAUAGGAGUCUGCAACUCGACUCCUUGAAGCUGGAAUCGCUAGUAGUCGUGGAUCAGAACGCCACGGUGAAUACGUUCCCGGGCCUUGUACACACCGCCCGUCAAGCCAUGGGAGAAGGGAGUGCUCUAAGCCGUGAUGCCAACCCGCAAGGGAGCUAGCGUCUAAAGCAAGACCUUUGACUGGGGCUAAGUCGGAACAAGGUAGCCGUACCGGAAGGUGCGGCUG